GUGCAGAAGAUGGAGGCCUGGCCUGUGAGGGUUCAGAGGGAAGCGAAGACUCCUCUGGGCUUUUGUGGGAAGAAUCUGUGUUGCCUGAGCAGCUGCUGCGGAAGAAUUGGCUGUAAUUAACAAGAGACCAUGAACACUAAAGUAAAACCCUUGCUUUGCUUAGACAAUGGAUGCUGGGUAGCUGGAGCUGAAGAACCAGCUUUGAUUAAGAAGAAACCAGCAUUAAUCAGAAAAUCAUUCAAGUGUUGCAGUCCCACAUAUUGGAAAGCUUAAUUACAGCAUGGACGGAGAAGAGCCAAAGCAGCUAGAAGGGAGGACGCGUCUCCUCAUUCUCCACAGACAGAAUCUGUCCAAGAACCCAGGCAGGUCGUCACAUCUGUCUGUCUGCCAGAAGCUACGUUCAUUACACAACCGAGAGCCACCCUGGGGGAAGCCUCACACAGGCUCAUUUCCAACCCUUGUACUUGCUCAGCCUCAUUUCAGAACCCAGCAGAUCAUCUCAAAAUCUCCCUCAGUGCCCCGAAAAUAUGCAUACAAUUCAGUCACAGUAGACAUCAAGUCACAGCAAGACAUAGCUCACAUUGGGAUCCUACACCUGCGGGAAACACUUCCAUAUUGAAAUAAGCCCCAGAAUCAGAUCAGCCAGAAGUCUCAAGAAAAAAAGACUCAUCAUGUAUGGACAGAUAGAAAAAUGGCAGCUGUGAUGAACGUAUUGUAUGACAAGAGAACUGGCUUUGUUUUUGAAUCAGAAGAGAGAUCCCAUCAUUCCCAAGACACCUACAGCAUCAGAGACUACACACCAUAAAGUAUUCACUUUACUUCCAUUUUUCUCCUUCAGUGUACGUGAUCUGGCUUGCUUUAUUGUUUUGCAUAUUGAAUGUCUUGGUGCUAGAACAAAUUUCACCCUCUCUUAAUGUACUCAUGAUGAUGUUACUGUAUGUCCAUGUUCUUCUUGUUGCAAAUGAAGAACUGAACAAAAUGUGGAAAUGCAGCACCAAAAGUAAAAACAAAGAUUUGUUAAAAGGGAAAGUAAGACAUUCACCCAACAGCAGGAAUGGAACCAAGUAAGCAGGUGGCACUUGAGUCCGCUCAUUUCAGAUCCAGGAGCUUUAAAUUGUAAGGGAGGGGAGAGGUGUUCCCUGAGCAUGCCCUGUUACUUUUACUUCGCAUGAACCAUCUCCCAGUCCUCUCUGUAAUGAUCGUUUGUAUGAGAUAAAGUCCCUAUGUGUCUCCCUUGAGUGGUUCAUGCUGUCCCAAAGGCAUGAGAUAAACUUCCCUUGAUGUGCAAGCAUGUCACUAGAUCAUCUCUUGCUUCCAAUCGUGAUCAGAUAUUGUCCUGUUAGGCAUGGAGGGUUCAUAGGAAACAAACUCUAUUCUGGAGAAUAGUCUUUUAAUGGUUAGGUCUCUUCUAUGACUCACAAGCAUGGAUGCUAACUUCCUGCCUCAAUGGCUUCUUAAAAAGAAAAUAAAUUCAGAAUCUGGGGAGUGUGUGAGCUUGCAAAAACAGUGGUGUUUAUAUCAUUCAUUCUGAACCAGUAGGCCGUCCAUUCAUUUUUAUUCCAUUUAUCCUUCAGAAACAUGUCUGUUCAUGUGUCCAACCAUUCAUUCGUGCAUCAGAAACAUGUCUGUUCAUGUGUCCAACCAUUCAUUCGUGCAUUCACACCCCCGUUUAUUGAGUGUAUCGCAUUUUCUUGAGAGACUGGUCUGGUCAUGUUCUUGUUCUUUUUUCAACUUGGCACAAGCUUGAGUUAUCUGGAACAAAGACCUCAGUUUAGAAAAGGUGCCUACCAGACUGGUCUGUACUGAAUUUCUUAAUGACCGACAUGGCUGAACCCAGUUUACUGUGGGCUGUACCAUCCCUAAGCAGGUGGUCCUGAGCUGUAUAACAAAGCGGGCUGAGCAAGCCAUGAAGAGCAAGUCAGUAAGCAGCACUGUUCCAAGGACUGUGCAUCAAGUCCUGCCUACAUGUACCUUCCCUGACUGAGUUUCUAUCCUGACCUAUUUCAGCCUAGUGUGGAAGUGUAUGCCAAA
This is a non-coding RNA of Rattus norvegicus (Norway rat), 2031 nucleotides long. NCBI's taxonomy places the organism in Eukaryota, Metazoa, Chordata, Mammalia, Rodentia, Muridae. The record is from RefSeq and is a predicted model, not a curated record.